RNAcentral lists this ribosomal RNA (442 nucleotides) under uncultured bacterium. RNAcentral's name for it is "partial 16S ribosomal RNA". It matches the Rfam family "Bacterial small subunit ribosomal RNA", at positions 338 to 795 of the family's 1533-position model. The record is from RNAcentral.
CCUACGGGCGGCUGCAGUAGGGAAUCUUUCACAAUGGGCGAAAGCCUGAUGGAGCAACGCCGCGUGCAGGAUGAAGGCCUUCGGGUUGUAAACUGCUUUUAUAAGCGAGAAAUAUGAUGGUAACUUAUGAAUAAGGAUCGGCUAACUACGUGCCAGCAGCCGCGGUCAUACGUAGGAUCCGAGCAUUAUCCGGAGUGACUGGGUGUAAAGAGUUGCGUAGGUGGCAUAAUAAGUAGCUAGUGAAAUCGGGUGGCUCAACCAUUCAGACUAUUAGCUAAACUGUUAAGCUCGAGACCGUUAGGGUUAACUGGAAUUUCUAGUGUAGGAGUGAAAUCCGUAGAUAUUAGAAGGAACACCAAUAGCGUAGGCAGGUUACUGGGACGGUUCUGACACUAAGGCACGAAAGCGUAGGGAGCAAACGGGAUUAGAUACCCUUGUAGUC